This 1057-nucleotide long non-coding RNA is filed under the name Bos indicus x Bos taurus (hybrid cattle). Its description in RNAcentral is "lncRNA (ENSBIXG00000021006.1)". Lineage: Eukaryota; Metazoa; Chordata; Mammalia; Artiodactyla; Bovidae. The record is from RNAcentral.
GCAAAACGAAUUAUAUCCUUAAACAGUUCAGAGUUAAAUGUCUAUUUUUGGAGAGGUCGAAUCAGGGCAGCUGCUGGCGACAAAACCUGCCUAGGCGACUGAGCAUGCUCAGCGUCACUUAGAAACCCAUAGAAGUUUCAGAAAAUACAUCACUUCGCUAAGGUUUUAGUAGAUACCACAGAGGAAGAGCAAAAAGAAAGGGAGAUUUCCAAGAGCUAAAAAGGGAGAUUUCCAAUGACGGAGAAGGAACCGGGGAGAUGACAGAGUAGAGGAUCAACAGAUAAAGGCUUCGCUUCCGGCUCUGUCAGGAUAGGUUCCCUGCAGAAACAACAGAGGCUGCCCGGAGGCUGGAAGCCGCCUACCCCAGGCCGCAGAGGCUUUCGGGAGUCUGGGCCAUACUGCCCGGAGGCGAGAAGGAGCCAUCGAAGGCCAAGGAACUUGUCGCUUAGCGCAAAACGAAGACGCCGGAGCGCCGGCAGUCAGGACCCCAGUGUCUCCUCGCUCCGAAGUUUUGAGGAGAUGAAUUGGGUCGGGGGUUCCCGGUAGGUUGUUGCCGGCGCUUGAUUUUAGCCCUUGAGUCCCUGGAUAUUCAUUCCCAUAAUGGCGCCUCUUUCCUAGGCCCUGGAGGGCAGUGCACAGACUUAACUGGAAAGAACUUGCCAGGAGUGGGUUUUUUAAUCGUUAUCCAACAUGGGACGGCAUAGCGCGAAGUCUCUAUUCCUAAACCAGAAGCAAUCCAGUUUCUUCCCGCUGUUUCCCAAGGCUUCACACGUGGAGCCACUUUCCAUGAGGUGUACCUGCUCUCUGUCCUGCGUCCUGCUCUAAUGAGGCCUCUCAGCACCUGAUCCUUUUUCUGCCUUCAUUCUGUCCUGCCCUUCUUGGGAGGGGUUUCUUGGGGUCAAUAUGUAAUCUUUUCAUGAACUUGCUAAGUAUUAUGGAGGAAGUUGCUGCCCUUAAAUCCUUUAAUGGGAGGCGGGAUCAGCAUCAACCAUAAAAAUCCAGUAUAGUUUGUUUCCAAGGAAGGUAGAAUAAACAGUUUUUACUUUACUAAUUUACA